This 208-nucleotide non-coding RNA is filed under the name Terrisporobacter sp. Its description in RNAcentral is "T-box sequence". It matches the Rfam family "T-box leader". Rfam says of the family: Uncharged tRNA acts as the effector for transcription antitermination of genes in the T-box leader family. Lineage: Bacteria; Bacillati; Bacillota; Clostridia; Peptostreptococcales; Peptostreptococcaceae. The record is from RNAcentral.
AUAAAUUCAGUGAAGAAGAGAGUAAGAUAAAUUAAAUUUAUAGAGAACUGGGGAUGGUGGAAGCCUGGUAAGGAGAUUUAUUCUGAAAAGAGCUUUUGAGAAGGUUAUCAGAACUUAAGUAUGAUAAUCGGUUGUCCGCCUUAAGGAUUUGAGUGGUUAAGAUAUUCUUAACAAUUAGAGUGGUAACACGGUAAAUAUCGUCUCUUGG